RNAcentral lists this ribosomal RNA (462 nucleotides) under Triticum aestivum (bread wheat). RNAcentral's name for it is "partial small subunit ribosomal RNA". Lineage: Eukaryota; Viridiplantae; Streptophyta; Magnoliopsida; Poales; Poaceae. The record is from RNAcentral.
AUGUUUGACGGAGUUGAGCGGAUGCUUCGGGGAGUCAGGCAUGUGCCGGGGCUAAGGAGGAAUCUAAUUUCGCUCGAUGUUCUUCAUGAUGGUGGUAUGGUAUUCCGUUGUGAUCGGGAUAGGAAGACCAUAAGAAUCAUGAAAGAUGAGGUGACCGUGAUGAUUGGAGGGAGGACGGCUUCACAUCUUUACAAACUGCAAGGGAGCACUAUUGCAGGUGGAGUCACGAAGACUGGAGUUGCAGGAGUAGCAGCGGGGUCUCACGGCGGCGGCGGGUCUGGGGCAGACUGUCGAGUAGCUCUCAGUAAGCUCCGAAGAAGACAACACAAGUCCGGAGUACAUGGAAGUUUGACACAUGGACAAAUUCAAGGUGGUGGAGAAUAUUCUCCAAGGUGGAGUUUGUUGUGUUUUUGUGACGAAUAUUUUGUACUAGUUGGGUUACGCUUGGACUUGGUGUUGUAG